GAGAUUGUCAAUAGAGGUAUUAAAUAUCCCAAAGGAGAAGUUUCAAUUGAAAUGAGGAGCCCUAAACUAGUGCUCAUUUGUGGAAGGAAGAAAAAUAAAAUUGGAAAGUUUUCAGAUGAAGAUUAAAAUGCUUACAUUCCAGAAGCCAAGGUUUGGAAUCUCUCUGAUGUUGAAAGAAGUCUGGAAAAGCCUCAGAUUACAGUGAAGAUAUAGCUUCGAGUGCCAUUGAGAGGAGCGCAUGUACGGAAAAUGCUUUUGUUGGUUCAACAUGUAACUUCUCAGAAAGGUUUUCAAGUUGAUUCACCAUUCACAUGUGCUUAUUGCUUGACAACAGGAAAAAUCAGUCCAGAAGUUUUUCCUGCAUAUGGGUAUUAAUACAGCACAUGAUCCAUUUCAUUUGUUGGAACAGGACAAUAAAUCUGUGAAACUGAGCUAGUAAAAACCAGCUGUGGGAGUUCUACUUUGCAAAAAAAAAAAAAAAAGUGAUUAGUGAAUAGAAAUCUCAAAAUACUAAG
Long non-coding RNA from Cygnus olor (mute swan), 515 nucleotides. RefSeq lists it as uncharacterized. Lineage: Eukaryota; Metazoa; Chordata; Aves; Anseriformes; Anatidae. The transcript has 3 exons. The record is from RefSeq and is a predicted model, not a curated record.